UACGGAUUACGUUGUUAUUGCUUAAGAAUACGCGUAGUCGAGGAGAGUACCAGCGGCAGGCGGGCAGCGGCCGCCCCUUCCAGCCCACCAGCUGGCCUCUAAACGCCUGUGGUUGCCAAGAUCCUAGGAUAUGCUACAUAAUAAAAAUAAUAACUUCAACAGAAAGUCAAGAUGUCACUGAAUUUUGCGAGAGAGACACAAGAAUAAUACAUCAAACAGAAGAAGUAUAUGAGAACAAUUUUGCUGGGUAUAUAUUUACUUCAAUUCAACCAUUUGGAGAAAUAAUGAAAAUUCUGAUGAGUUUUAAAACUCAUAAUACAAAUAUGCAUUGAUCUAUCACCACAGGGGCAUGUGAUGUAAUUGUGGCCAAUGAGACACAAGCCAACAUCUUCUAGAUUUUUUCCACUCUUCAGACAAAAGGAAGAGAUGUCUUUCAUCCAACCUUUGAACAGUCUUACGAGAAGCUGUUUGAAGCUGCUGUAGCCAUCUUGUAAGGCUGGAGAGAAUAUCAGACAUUCUAAGGAAGACAGAGAAGACAGUCUUGGAACCAACCCUGUACCACCCUACUUUUAUUUAAAGUUCUUGAUAUGUGACAUAAUAAAAUUUCCUUAUUGUUUAAACCACUUUUAGUUGGG
Molecule: long non-coding RNA, 635 nt
Organism: Mustela lutreola (European mink)
Lineage: Eukaryota; Metazoa; Chordata; Mammalia; Carnivora; Mustelidae
Exons: 4
Source: RefSeq, a predicted model, not a curated record